UUCGGUCUUCGGUAGUGGCCUCCGGAGGAUUGGGCGCUGACACCGGCUUGCAGAUGCAGGCGGUUGGCAGCACCGGUUCCGUGGGCCCCGAUCGAUGACCGGC
Molecule: regulatory RNA element, 103 nt
Organism: Brevibacterium linens
Lineage: Bacteria; Bacillati; Actinomycetota; Actinomycetes; Micrococcales; Brevibacteriaceae
Rfam family: Actino-pnp RNA
Source: Rfam